Molecule: long non-coding RNA, 96 nt
Organism: Alosa sapidissima (American shad)
Lineage: Eukaryota; Metazoa; Chordata; Actinopteri; Clupeiformes; Clupeidae
Exons: 3
Source: RefSeq, a predicted model, not a curated record
AAAAAAAAAUUCAGCUUGACAACCACCCUAAUUUCUUACCUAUGGGUGUCUUCUACCUAAAAAAAUAGGGUGACAGCUUCCGUUAUAUAUACUAUA